GCAGUGGGAGCACCCUUUGGGGUGUGACUGCGUACCUUUUGUAUAAUGGGUCAGCGACUUAUAUUCUGUAGCAAGGUUAACCGAAUAGGGGAGCCGGAGGGAAACCGAGUCUUAAUUGGGCGUUAAGUUGCAGGGUAUAGACCCGAAACCCGGUGAUCUAGCCAUGGGCAGGUUGAAGGUUGGGUAACACUAACUGGAGGACCGAACCGACUAAUGUUGAAAAAUUAGCGGAUGACCUGUGGCUGGGGGUGAAAGGCCAAUCAAACCGGGAGAUAGCUGGUUCUCCCCGAAAGCUAUUUAGGUAGCGCCUCGUGAAUUCAUCUCCGGGGGUAGAGCACUGUUUCGGCUAGGGGGCCAUCCCGGCUUACCAACCCGAUGCAAACUGCGAAUACCGGAGAAUGUUAUCACGGGAGACACACGGCGGGUGCUAACGUCCGUCGUGAAGAGGGAAACAACCCAGACCGCCAGCUAAGGUCCCAAAGUCAUGGUUAAGUGGGAAACGAUGUGGGAAGGCCCAGACAGCCAGGAUGUUGGCUUAGAAGCAGCCAUCAUUUAAAGAAAGCGUAAUAGCUCACUGGUCGAGUCGGCCUGCGCG
RNAcentral lists this ribosomal RNA (595 nucleotides) under Salmonella enterica. RNAcentral's name for it is "partial 23S ribosomal RNA". It matches the Rfam family "Bacterial large subunit ribosomal RNA", at positions 570 to 1165 of the family's 2925-position model. Lineage: Bacteria; Pseudomonadati; Pseudomonadota; Gammaproteobacteria; Enterobacterales; Enterobacteriaceae. The record is from RNAcentral.